CUUGAAAGUACGCUUGCAGAUGUAUAGGUACGGUGAAGCCCACACUCCUUGCUUAGAGCAGGGGGUUGGACCCUCACCUUGAACACACUGUUGAUGAAAUUUGCUGCUGAUGAGGGACAGAACCCACAGACUCUGUCGAAGACUGACUGUUCCUGUGGCUUUGCUUGCCCGGUGUGGAGGUGAAGGGAGUGUGAGCUGCAUCUUAUGGAAAGCAUGCACAUGCACAUUGGGCGCCUCUUGCAGCCAUGUGUUUUCUUGCAGAACAACAAUGAGAUGAAGAUGGGGCAUUAAGCCCUUGGAGAACAUUGACACAUUGCAUGGACAACAAGAUGACCUUGGUAUGGACUCAAUCCUGUUUACACUGUACUUAGAGUGCAUCACUAUAAAACCAAAUCAAAGGAGUAAUCUCAAGAGGAAUAUAGCUCUCUCUAAAUGUGAAAGACAUUAAGCAAACAUUCUUCUGUCCACUGAGACUGUCAAGACUCUUCUCACUCUGAAGUUUACAUACCAUCUCCUGUUUCUGUAUUAAUGUGAAGAAAGCCAAGACAAACAGAAGCUUGGAAAUCACAUGGGAAGAAGUUUCCUUUGUCUGUGGAUCUUUUUGACAGAGGGCAGUUUUCUGGGCCAUCAAGAACUUGAAAUAGUUCCUUGGUUAUACUUGACCUGGAUUUGCCAUUCCCAGACCACUUGUAAGAAGACAGCAAUUUUGCUAUGCUGAAAUAUGUCUGAAAUAAAACUGUUUUGAGGAUAUGUCCACUAUCAGUAGAUAGUCAUGUACCUCAUUCCCUUUUUCCCAUAUUGCUAUGGAGAGGUAUAAAUUCCAUCUGCAUGUGGGAUGCUGCACACUGGUAGGUGUUAGACAACAUAAAACUAAGGCACAAAGAAGGCAGUAAUGAAGACAAGAAGGCAUCAGUGAGGAAGCAUUUCUCAGAUAAGAAGCCAAAAUACAAACAGGAACCAGUUUCACUUAAAGUCCUACCAAAGACAAUUAAAUGCAGUAAAUUAGAUGUUAACAAUGAUGAAGUUUGGAAGAAAAAUCCCAAUAAGAAUGCUCAUGAUUGAGCACGAGCAAGGUAUGAGCUGAUGAAGCAAUGAGUGUAUUAAAGGAGUUUCUUAUGUUUUAUGCAUGGACUUCUGAGCAGAAAAACUACAAACAUGACACUUCUUAUCCAUACUUCAGGUUUAUUAUUUUGUAAUUAAGUUUUGUU
Long non-coding RNA from Gallus gallus (chicken), 1208 nucleotides. The record is from Ensembl. Lineage: Eukaryota; Metazoa; Chordata; Aves; Galliformes; Phasianidae.